This 1789-nucleotide unclassified non-coding RNA is filed under the name Polistes fuscatus (common paper wasp). RNAcentral's name for it is "tRNA (guanine(37)-N1)-methyltransferase, transcript variant X1". Lineage: Eukaryota; Metazoa; Arthropoda; Insecta; Hymenoptera; Vespidae. The record is from RNAcentral.
UGCUAGAGGACGUAAAGUGACAACUCUUCUAAAAUCAUUCAGUCUAGUGCAACGUGAUUGAAUUCGUUAUUAUUCUUUUACAUAUUUACGUGAAUAAAUAAUUGAGAUGGUGAGGCCCUCAGUUGCUAUACGAGGCAUUGCUGUAGUAAACCAGCUGCAUUGCUUUAGCAAAACCACUAUGACUUCUUUGCUGGUUCCUCCAGUAUCGGUACGCGGUAUGAAAUGCUUGGACCGCGAUGCAUUUACGACUACCAUUGAGAUUCCUUCGUUGAAAUUGUGCAAAGUUAAACUUCCAAAAUACAUGCCUAUAUUAAAAAAGUAUUUGCUUAAGCUAUAUUCUUUAAAACCGGUUCAAAAUGUGGAUGACGUUAAUACUAUUGUCUACCUUAAUCCAAACAUCAUUAAAAAAUUUGAAGAUAUCGACGAAGCUGACAGAAAAUUAUUGAUAGAUCAAUAUGAAUAUUCAGAUAAAACUCAGCUGACGUUAAAAUAUGAAAACUGGAAGUCGGAGGAUAUAUUAAAAUCCGUUCUUCCAGAGGACAUAGAAACGCCCACGUCAUUUAGUCAAAUAGGGCAUAUAGUACAUUUGAAUUUGCGUGAUACGCAGUUGCCUUACAAAAAUAUCAUCGGUCAAGUUUUCCUCGACAAGAUACCAACUGCACUUACAGUUAUUAAUAAAACAAAAAACAUAGACACAACAUUUCGUCAUUUUACUAUGGAAGUAUUGGCCGGUGAUGAAAAUACUAUAACAACAGUCAAAGAAAAUGGCAGAACGUAUCAAUUUGAUUUCGCUCAAGUCUAUUGGAAUCCUCGAUUAUCUACGGAACAUAUGAAUUUAUUGACAUUCAUGGAAAAUAACGAUGUCUUAUAUGACGUCUUUGCAGGAGUCGGACCUUUUGCCAUUCCUGCGGCUUGUAAAAAAGUUCGAGUAUUAGCUAACGAUUUAAAUCCUGAAUCAUACAAGUGGCUACAGAAGAAUGCAGAUAUUAACAAAACCAAACGUAACUUGCAAUGUUUCAAUUUGGAUGGUAGAGAUUUUUUAAGAGAUGUUGUUAAAACUGAUAUUCUCAAUAGGAGGGAAAAUAAAAUGACUGGUAAAGAACAUAUAGUUAUGAAUUUACCAGAUUCAGCUGUCGAGUUUUUAGAUAUACUUCCAAAUUUGUUUAGCCCGGAAGAAAUAGAAAAAGUUUCUUCUAAUCCACCUAUAAUACAUCUUUACUGUUUUGUUAGAUUACGAAAAAAUGAGAAUCCUUGGAACAACGCUAUAUUAUUAGUAGAGAAUAAACUUGGAUGCAAGUUGUACCAAGACUCGUUGGUCGACGUGCAUAACGUCAGAAACGUUUCUCCGAAGAAAGAAAUGAUGCGUGUAUCGUUUUUAUUGACUAAAAAUAUACUUAAAGGCGAGGAGCCAGCAAUGAAGAAAGCAAAACUAGAAGAAAAUACCGAUUCUUGUAAUUAAUUGUAAUGAUAAAUAAUAGAGAUUACUGUUUAAUUGUUGUACAGAAUAAAGAACGACGAUGAAAAAGAAAAACAACAAAGGCUCGCAUAAGACCAAAACUGUAUUUCAAUUACCAACGACGCGUAGCAUUAAACUGAAAGUCAAAGCUGAGAAAAUGGCAAAAAAACUGAAAAAUUUAGAUUUGAAAGCAAAUAAAUCGACGACCAAAACAACUAAAAAGACGAAAGAUAAAAAGUCGCUCACUGACAAAACAUUGAAAGACUUGUGUCAAGAAGUAGUCAUAGCAGCCCUUAAGAAGAAUAGUAAUACUGGAAAAGUAAAGAAGCAAAA